This 228-nucleotide unclassified non-coding RNA is filed under the name Pucciniastrum hydrangeae-petiolaris. RNAcentral describes it as "ITS2". Lineage: Eukaryota; Fungi; Basidiomycota; Pucciniomycetes; Pucciniales; Pucciniastraceae. The record is from RNAcentral.
AACCCUCUCAUUCUAAUUUCUUCAUUUUUGAAGACGUUGGUAAUGGAUGUUGAGCGUUGCCGUGUUGAAUGGCUCGCUUUAAAUAUAUAAGUACGUCUAUUGAUAAGUAAAUGGAGCAAAAACUUGAUGUGAUAAUUAUCAUUCAUUGAGGAAUGUUGGAGUAGUAAAAUACUUUGACGGCCAUUUGACCUUUAAUAAAUAGCUUCCUAACCCUAUUCAUUUUGAACU